RNAcentral lists this ribosomal RNA (450 nucleotides) under uncultured bacterium. RNAcentral describes it as "bacterial SSU rRNA". It matches the Rfam family "Bacterial small subunit ribosomal RNA", at positions 28 to 458 of the family's 1533-position model. The record is from RNAcentral.
GAUGAACGCUGGCGGCGUGCUUAACACAUGCAAGUCGAACGAAGCACUUUAUUUGAUUUCCUUCGGGACUGAUUAUUUUGUGACUGAGUGGCGGACGGGUGAGUAACGCGUGGGUAACCUGCCUUGUACAGGGGGAUAACAGUUGGAAACGGCUGCUAAUACCGCAUAAGCGCACGGCAUCGCAUGAUGCAGUGUGAAAAACUCCGGUGGUAUAAGAUGGACCCGCGUUGGAUUAGCUGGUUGGUGAGGUAACGGCCCACCAAGGCGACGAUCCAUAGCCGACCUGAGAGGGUGACCGGCCACAUUGGGACUGAGACACGGCCCAAACUCCUACGGGAGGCAGCAGUGGGGAAUAUUGCACAAUGGGCGAAAGCCCGAUGCAGCGACGCCGCGUGAGCGAAGAAGUAUUUCGGUAUGUAAAGCUCUAUCAGCAGGGAAGAUAAUGACGGU